This 460-nucleotide ribosomal RNA is filed under the name uncultured bacterium. Its description in RNAcentral is "partial 16S ribosomal RNA". It matches the Rfam family "Bacterial small subunit ribosomal RNA", at positions 338 to 795 of the family's 1533-position model. The record is from RNAcentral.
CCUACGGGUGGCAGCAGUGAGGAAUAUUGGUCAAUGGGCGCGAGCCUGAACCAGCCAAGUCGCGUGAGGGAUGACGGUCCUAUGGAUUGUAAACCUCUUUUAUAAGGGAAUAAAAUGUGGCACGUGUCCUAUUUUGUAUGUACCUUAUGAAUAAGGAUCGGCUAACUCCGUGCCAGCAGCCGCGGUAAUACGGAGGAUCCGAGCGUUAUCCGGAUUUAUUGGGUUUAAAGGGUGCGUAGGCGGCAUUUUAAGUUAGCUGUGAAAGUGUGUGGCUCAACCAUACAAUUGCCGUUGAAACUGGGGGUCUUGAGUAUGUUUGAGGCAGGCGGAAUGCGUGGUGUAGCGGUGAAAUGCUUAGAUAUCACGCAGAACCCCGAUUGCGAAGGCAGCAUACCAAGCCAUGACUGACGCUGAUGCACGAAAGUGUGGGUAUCAAACAGGAUUAGAUACCCGGGUAGUC